UACGUAGGGGGCAAGCGUUAUCCGGAUUUACUGGGUGUAAAGGGAGCGUAGACGGAAUGGCAAGUCUGAAGUGAAAUGCCCGGGCUCAACCCGGGAACUGCUUUGGAAACUGUCGAUCUGGAGUGUUGGAGAGGUAAGUGGAAUUCCUGGUGUAGCGGUGAAAUGCGUAGAGAUCAGGAAGAACACCGGAGGCGAAGGCGGCUUACUGGACAAAGACUGACGUUGAGGCUCGAAAGCGUGGGAAGCAAACAGG
Molecule: ribosomal RNA, 253 nt
Filed under: uncultured bacterium
Lineage: Bacteria
Description: partial 16S ribosomal RNA
Rfam family: Bacterial small subunit ribosomal RNA
Source: RNAcentral